Long non-coding RNA from Magallana angulata, 2086 nucleotides. RefSeq lists it as uncharacterized. NCBI's taxonomy places the organism in Eukaryota, Metazoa, Mollusca, Bivalvia, Ostreida, Ostreidae. The record is from RefSeq and is a predicted model, not a curated record. The transcript is spliced from 2 exons.
UUGGUGUAUUGGCGGUCCCCAUUGACAGUUCUCGUCACGGUUCGGCGGUUCCUUUUAUACCCGUCUGUGCCUGUUCAAUAGGGCCUACAAAUGCUAAUAAGCAAUAAUCAGACUAGGAUUUCAUGAGAACAGAUUGUUUAGCUUAGCUUUGUUUAAGAAAGUCCUGUUCGCGACAAACGGAACACUGUGCGGUUUGGGGAACUAAAAUAUUAGGAGAAGGAAACAUGUGUAAACCUUGAAAAGUCUAAGUGAAACGACGUCUUCCAUUGUUAAAAGCCAUAUUUACUUACAGAAAAAAAGUUUAUACGACGUCGAAGAAGAUGUAAUUUGAACAUCGUUUUCAGCAAUUCAAGGCCGUGAGGAAAAUUAUUUCUGGAAUUGGCUUAAUUUUGGACAAAAACCUCUUUUCAACAAAAAAAUGUCUUGGUUCAAGUUUUGGAGCCGCUCAAAAUCGAAAUCUAAGGACAUUAAGGAUGAAUAUCAAAAAGAGCUGAAGAGAUCUGAGUCUCUAAGAGAAGACUCAAACCUAACGGAAGCGGAACGUGAAAAACAAAAACUGAAACACACCCUGUCAAUAUCCCGGUCUGGAAGAUUCAAGCACAAGAAACGAGAGCGUGGAGGGAUUCUUGACAAACCGGAGAUGUUUGAUAAGACAGUAGAAAACGGCAAUGGGGGAAGACCGACGGUGAAACCCCCUAACCCCCCUUCCUCUGGACACUCACGAUCUCCCAAUAACACGUGUCGAGAUGUGCGCGAUGUUUUUCAAUCCAACUACCCAUCUCAUGUUGCAGCGGUUUGAAAUCGUUCAUACGCAGAACUAAAGAAGACAUGUGAUUAUAUGCAAUCAUAAUGACCUAAAGUGCAGGCAAUAACUUUAAUUUGCAUUUUAUUGAAUUCCGUUUCCAUUAAGAUUGAAAAAUAUCAUCCAUCUCAGAUUCAUAUUUUAUUGCGGGAUUUAGACUUAGUGGAGAUAUAAUCAAAGGUUUUCAAUGAUUGUACAUAGUGCUAAUUAUGAAAAGGUUAAUUUUUCUGUCUCAGUUUUUCAGCGUUUGUCAACACCUUUGAUUCUAGUUUGAUUCAUGCAGACUAUCUUUCAUGACGAUGAUAUUCAUGACCAAUUACGUUGAUAGAAGACAUAAUGUCUUAAAACGACAUAAUGUCUCAAAACGUCGAAAUAAUAGAAAGAAUUGUAGAUAUAUGAUGUGUAAGAAAUUAUUUUGAUUUGUUUACUGUUAAUCACAAAUCAAUAGUCAUGUUCAUGAAAAUGAUUAAUUGCAUCGUAGCCCCCUAGUUCAUUCCAUAUUUUGUGUUUGUUGUUUGUUAAUAUAUAUGAGGUUUAUGAUUUUUUAAAACCAUAUUUUAUAUUUAAAACCUGCUUGUUCUCAACUUGAUUUUAAAUGGCAUAUCUCGGCCGCUUUUUUCAUAAAUCAAGACCCAAUGCAAGUUAAAAUAUGGCUGUAAUAUUAAGCUCAUUAUAACAGAGCUUUGUGUUGAGCUGCAAAUCGUUGCCAAUAAGUUUGUAAAACUGAUUUCUACAAUGAUACUUCAUAAUAAAGAGCAGUACUUUUUUUUGUUAAAAAGCAUUUAAAUUCUUGUGUACCGGCGAGCCUUUGUUCCAACACAUAAACAAAACCCAAUUUUACAAUCAUUUGCCAAUUGCGUCGACUAGAUGAAAUCUUGAUUGUUAAUCAAACAAAUCAACACCCAUUAAUAUUGCAUUGCGUUUUGGCAAAUAUUUUGUUUCUUAUUUUGUAUUUUGAGAAAGCUGGAUGUCCGUGGCCAUUUCAAGACUGUAUUGGCCUCCUUUAACAGAAGAGCUUUUUAUGAAGAUACAGAAAAAUAUUCAAAUUUUAAAGCUAAAAUAUAUGGAAUCUUUUUUUACUUAAUUAAAGUUAAGCUCAAUAAAUCCUAUUCAAAAAUCUAUAGGUAGAUCGGAGGUAAUUUGUUGACCCACCCAGCCCCCUUAAAAGAGAAAAAAAUAUAGUACAGUACCGUUUUCCUGACGCAUUCAUGUUCAUCCAUUAUUUGAUAGUUCAUGCAAGCAUAGGGAUUUUUCAAGAUUCAUCUCUUUACUCUUUUUUUUAAA